This 683-nucleotide ribosomal RNA is filed under the name uncultured bacterium. Its description in RNAcentral is "bacterial SSU rRNA". It matches the Rfam family "Bacterial small subunit ribosomal RNA", at positions 196 to 883 of the family's 1533-position model. The record is from RNAcentral.
UGUUAUUAAAGAAUUUCGGUUAUCGAUGGGGAUGCGUUCCAUUAGGCAGUUGGUGAGGUAACGGCUCACCAAACCUUCGAUGGAUAGGGGUUCUGAGAGGAAGGUCCCCCACAUUGGAACUGAGACACGGUCCAAACUCCUACGGGAGGCAGCAGUGAGGAGUAUUGGUCAAUGGGCGCAGGCCUGAACCAGCCAAGUAGCGUGAAGGAUGACUGCCCUAUGGGUUGUAAACUUCUUUUAUAUGGGAAUAAAGUUUUCCACGUGUGGAAUUUUGUAUGUACCAUAUGAAUAAGGAUCGGCUAACUCCGUGCCAGCAGCCGCGGUAAUACGGAGGAUCCGAGCGUUAUCCGGAUUUAUUGGGUUUAAAGGGAGCGUAGGUGGACAGUUAAGUCAGUUGUGAAAGUUUGCGGCUCAACCGUAAAAUUGCAGUUGAUACUGGCUGUCUUGAGUACAGUAGAGGUGGGCGGAAUUCGUGGUGUAGCGGUGAAAUGCUUAGAUAUCACGAAGAACUCCGAUUGCGAAGGCAGCUCACUGGACUGCAACUGACACUGAUGCUCGAAAGUGUGGGUAUCAAACAGGAUUAGAUACCCUGGUAGUCCACACAGUAAACGAUGAAUACUCGCUGUUUGCGAUAUACAGUAAGCGGCCAAGCGAAAGCAUUAAGUAUUCCACCUGGGGAGUAC